UCAGAUCUUAGCUCUGUCUGUAACUGUUC
This 29-nucleotide non-coding RNA is filed under the name Mus musculus (house mouse). The record is from RNAcentral. Lineage: Eukaryota; Metazoa; Chordata; Mammalia; Rodentia; Muridae.